This 73-nucleotide transfer RNA is filed under the name Rexea nakamurai (Nakamura's escolar). RNAcentral describes it as "tRNA-Leu". It matches the Rfam family "tRNA". From Rfam's summary of the family: Transfer RNA (tRNA) molecules are approximately 80 nucleotides in length. Their secondary structure includes four short double-helical elements and three loops (D, anti-codon, and T loops). The record is from RNAcentral. Lineage: Eukaryota; Metazoa; Chordata; Actinopteri; Scombriformes; Gempylidae.
GCUUCUAAAGGAUAACAGCUCAUCCACUGGUCUUAGGAACCAGAAACUCUUGGUGCAAAUCCAAGUAGUAGCU